CCUACGGGGCGCUGCAGUGGGGAAUAUUGCACAAUGGGGGAAACCCUGAUGUAGCGACGCCGCGUGAGUGAAGAAGCGCCUCGGCGCGUAAAGCUCUGUCAGCAGGAACGAUAAUGACGGUACCUGAAGAAGAAGCCCCGGCUAACUACGUGCCAGCAGCCGCGGUAAUACGUAGGGGACAAGCGUUAUCCGGAUUUAUUGGGUUUAAAGGGUGCGUAGGCGGUCCGGAAAGUCAGCGGUAAAAGCCCGGGGCUCAACCCGGGCCUUGCAGCGCGAACUGGCGUGCUUGAGUCCGCGGAAAGCAGGCGGAAUUCGUCGUGUAGCGGUGAAAUGCUUAGAUAUGACGAAGAACCCCGAUUGCGAAGGCAGCUUGCUGCAGCGGAACUGACGCUGAUGCUCGAAAGCGCGGGUAUCGAACAGGAUUAGAUACCCUUGUAGUC
This 440-nucleotide ribosomal RNA is filed under the name uncultured bacterium. RNAcentral describes it as "partial 16S ribosomal RNA". It matches the Rfam family "Bacterial small subunit ribosomal RNA", at positions 338 to 795 of the family's 1533-position model. The record is from RNAcentral.